GAGGGGUAAGGUUCUCUCUCGGAGAAUACACGACCGGCGCACGGGUGAGUAACGCGUAUGCAACCUACCUAUAACACAAGGAUAGCUCCCGGAAACGGGAAUUAAUACUUGAUGACAUUCAAAGAUGGCAUCAUCAAUGAAUCAAAGUUCCGGCGGUUAUAGAUGGGCAUGCGUGACAUUAGCUAGUUGGUGAGGUAGAGGCUCACCAAGGCGAACGAUGUCUAGGGGGUCUGAGAGGAUGAUCCCCCACACUGGUACUGAGACACGGACCAGACUCCUACGGGAGGCAGCAGUGAGGAAUAUUGCGCAAUGGAGGAAACUCUGACGCAGCCAUCCCGCGUGCAGGAUUGACGGCCCUAUGGGUUGUAAACUGCUUUUCUAUACCAAGAAACACCGAUACGUGUAUCGGUUUGCCGGUAGUAUAGGAAUAAGCAUCGGCUAACUCCGUGCCAGCAGCCGCGGUAAUACGGAGGAUGCAAGCGUUAUCCGGAAUCACUGGGUUUAAAGGGUGCGCAGG
RNAcentral lists this ribosomal RNA (517 nucleotides) under uncultured organism. RNAcentral's name for it is "bacterial SSU rRNA". It matches the Rfam family "Bacterial small subunit ribosomal RNA", at positions 64 to 575 of the family's 1533-position model. The record is from RNAcentral.